GACGGGGGAUGCAAGCGUUAUCCGGAAUCACUGGGCGUAAAGCGUCUGUAGGUGGUGAUGCAAGUCACUGGUGCAAAACUCUGGCUCAACCGGAGGAAAGCCAGUGAAACUGCAUGACUAGAGUGUGGGAGAGGUAGAAGGAAUUCCCUGAGUAGCGGUGAAAUGCGUAGAUACAGGGAAGAACACCGGAGGCGAAAGCGCUCUACUGGAACACAACUGACACUGAGAGACGAAAGCUAGGGGAGCAGAUGGG
This 253-nucleotide ribosomal RNA is filed under the name uncultured bacterium. RNAcentral's name for it is "partial 16S ribosomal RNA". It matches the Rfam family "Bacterial small subunit ribosomal RNA", at positions 524 to 776 of the family's 1533-position model. The record is from RNAcentral.